This 114-nucleotide ribosomal RNA is filed under the name Trachymyrmex septentrionalis. The record is from RNAcentral. Lineage: Eukaryota; Metazoa; Arthropoda; Insecta; Hymenoptera; Formicidae.
GGCAACGUCCAAGUCACAUUGAACCUACCAGUUCUCGUCUGAUCACUGGUCAAGCAACGUUAAGCAUGGUUAGUACUUGGAUGGGUGCCGUUUAGGAACCAUGUGAUGUUGCCC